This 559-nucleotide long non-coding RNA is filed under the name Bos taurus (domestic cattle). RNAcentral describes it as "long non-coding RNA NONBTAT009050". Lineage: Eukaryota; Metazoa; Chordata; Mammalia; Artiodactyla; Bovidae. The record is from RNAcentral.
AUUAAGUCACAACUUGAAUGUUACAGCCCCUGAGUGAACACAAUCUUAAAAAAAAACUUCCUACAAAGCCUCUCCCUUCUCUUCUUUGUCAGAAAGUUGCUUCAGCCUAAAUAGAAGCCAUUUCCCUUUUCUUUUUAAAGGAGAGGGUCACCAGGUGCCCCCUGGGGUCCUCUGCCAGCUUCACCCUCCAGUACCAGCACUAAUAAAGGCCACACCCCUGUGUUGGUGGCCAUAUUCCACGCGCUGAUUUAAUGCUGGCUUCACGGCUGCUAUCAGAGAGAAGUGUGCUCCCAGCCAGGACUGCAAGGGCGUCUGAAGACACGGUGAACAUUUGAAAUUAAAAACGUGCAAGUCCAGAGGAUGCUGCAGACACUCGGAACACCAGCUUCACCCACCUCGUCUCCCAUCUUCUCAGUGACCCUCACGGUAGCCAUCAUCACCCACACGUGACACGGGGACGCGGAGAGACAGGAAGAUGGGUACCCAGGGAAGCUCGGCAGUGCUCAGGGAUGCCUGGUCAGAGCCAGCCUUUGACGGGACCUGUUAGAUGCUAAACAUC